CCUACGGGUGGCAGCAGUGAGGAAUAUUGGUCAAUGGGCUUACGCCUGAACCAGCCAAGUCGCGUGAGGGAAGACUGCCCUAUGGGUUGUAAACCUCUUUUGUCAGGGAGCAACGCCGACUACGUUUAGCCGGACUGAGAGUACCUGAAGAAAAAGCAUCUGCUAACGCCGUGCCAGCAGCCGCGGUAAUACGGAGGAUGCGAGCGUUAUCCUGAUUUUUUGGGUUUAAAGGGUGCGUAGGCGGAAUGCCAAGGCAGCGGUAAAAUCGCGGGGCUCAACCUCGCUCCGCCGGUGAAACUGGCGUUCUUGAGUGGGCGAGAAGUAUGCGGAAUGCGGGGUGUAGCGGUGAAAUGC
RNAcentral lists this ribosomal RNA (354 nucleotides) under uncultured bacterium. Its description in RNAcentral is "partial 16S ribosomal RNA". It matches the Rfam family "Bacterial small subunit ribosomal RNA", at positions 338 to 689 of the family's 1533-position model. The record is from RNAcentral.